This 170-nucleotide ribosomal RNA is filed under the name uncultured Pseudomonas sp. Its description in RNAcentral is "partial 16S ribosomal RNA". It matches the Rfam family "Bacterial small subunit ribosomal RNA", at positions 365 to 526 of the family's 1533-position model. The record is from RNAcentral. Lineage: Bacteria; Pseudomonadati; Pseudomonadota; Gammaproteobacteria; Pseudomonadales; Pseudomonadaceae.
CCUAUAAUGGGCGAAGCCUGAUCCAGCCAUGCCGCGUGUGUGAAGAAGGUCUUCGGAUUGUAAAGCACUUUAAGUUGGGAGGAAGGGCAGUAAGUUAAUACCUUGCUGUUUUGACGUUACCGACAGAAUAAGCACCGGCUAACUCUGUGCCAGCAGCCGCGGUAAUCAUC